UGAGUGGGUGUGGUUGAAUAAGCGGGUGGAUGUUUUGAACAUUAUAUUAAUAUGUGCGGAUCCACAUGCUGCCUUCACGCAGCCUGUAGUCCAGACAUCUGAGUCUAGACAUUUUGAGGACCAAGUGGUUUGGGUACCAAGUGUCUCGAGCACCAAACAUCCUGAAGCCUAUUUACACUCAGGUCCAUCUGUCUUGAGGAUUGAUUAUCUGAACUGAGGUCUAUAUGACCUGAGUACCAUCCAUCCCAGUGACUAACUCCCCCGCCACACAACCGCGGCCAAGGACCCAACAGUCAACACGCAGCGGCACAGCUCAAAAGAGAAGAGGUGAAGAGAAUACAAAGAGGACAGAGAAGAGAGAAUAAAGGGAACUAAGAGGAGAGAGGCUGCAAGGAGACAAAAAGGAGGGUGAGUCAGUAAGGGGAGCAAGAGGAGAGUAACAAGGCGGUGGUGCUUAUUUGGAAAGGAAGAAACUCCUGCACACCACCGCCAUCUGCACUACCUCACAUGACUAACAUCACUGGUCACAAGAACAUCCAUCCGUGGCCAAGGCUUCCUCACACCAACGGGCUAACAAUUGGACAUUAUAAUCAAUUAUCCAAUUAGUUCAUGGAGUCAGAGGUUCAAAUAAACGUGCAUAUUACAUAAUUAUGCUCUCUCUCUCUCUCUCUCUCUCUCUCUCUCUCUCUCUCUCUCUCUCUCUCUCACAAUAGAAAUAUUCAUAUAACUCGAGCUGCAUAUUUUCUUUCAACCUACAGACAGUCCAAACAUUACAUACCUUAAUUAAGUUGUAAAAUACAAUGAGAAGUCCGUGAAAACCAAGAGAGGUUUAUCAUUUUUUUUUUUUCAGAUAAUCUUAUAAGCUGUUUCUCCCUCCCCCCCCACUUCCACUGAUAAAUUCUUGAAGAAAGUGUGUAUUGUAGUCUGAAAUGAUCAAUGGGUCCCAAGAGUUUAAUGGAACAACUUACCUCUAGGAAAGAAAAUCUCUCUCUCUCUCUCUCUCUCUCUCUCUCUCUCUCUCUCUCUCUCUCCUGCACCAUGGAAGCACACAACCUUUGCUUUAACCAAUGAUGCCGUAAGCUCCGAUCACUAAUGUUACGAUUUUUUUUUUUUUCUAGAAAAGGAGGUAUUUAUUGAAAAGAAUAUGAAUUACGUAACAUAACUUGACCUGAGAAGCCAAGGCAAACUUGACUUAGCCCCUGUAGUGUUUUCAGUAACUAGAAAACCUGUCUAAUAUUAAAUUGUGUCAAUAUUUGUAACAACCAUUACCACAACUGAGAUGAAAGGUUCAGUUCACAGUUUUGAGUGAAUAAUAGAUGUAAUAACAUGUAUGAUUAUAUUACAUUACAAAACUUGCCAAUGACAAAUAUGCAGUCCCCAUCCCUAACAACAAAGAAUUGCAAUCACUUACAAUAAGAAACAUAUUUAACGAUACAAUACUGAAAAAAAAUAUACAUCAAAGUAACUUACAAUAUUAAGCAAGACAGUGUUAUUAAAUGAAUACAUACUGAUUGAUACCUGUUUCCAUUUCCCUUAUGUACUUUAUGUAUUUCCAUGGCCAUGUGUCCCACUGCCUCCUUACUCAAGUACUCUGGAUAUGGUAAAGGGUUGCAUCAUGAGGUGCAUGGCUGUAUGAACACAGGCGAACACUCACCUCACUUACAAGUUCUGAACAGCACAGUUGAUUAAUCAAUAAAAUCAUGUGACAUUUUAUUCAUUAUAGUUUCAUGAGAACUGGUUCUUUUUUGCAUAUUGCAAAUCAUAUUAACACAUUUCACAAAAUUUUCAAAUGAUAGGGAAUGGUGGUAACAAAUAGAGGAAUAAACUAAUGCAGUGAUGGAUUAAGAUUUGAUGGGAGGAGGAGAACAGAAGACAGUUGGGAAAGUUGUCACAAAGGCACAUGGAUGCUUAAUUUUGCACUUACAGUAGUUUCAUUCAAACUCCUAAAGAUAUCAAAUGACUUCCUCCCAGGUUGACAUUUCAAUUUAAAGUAACAAAGAUACUAAAAAUCACUUUUUCAAAAUUCAUGUGAAGGAAGUAAAGAAAUCUUUGAACUUCAAAUCUUUGAGAGGCUAUUUAGUUUCAUAUCUAAUUAAUAAAUGUGCUGGAACAGUAUUGUAGUCACAGGGCAUAAAUGCAAGUAGAGUUAAACCAUCCACCUUGUCAACAAUGAUGACUAAGUGGGGCUGAAUCCUUCAAGGCAUGGGAAACAAAACUGACAGUGCUUUACAUCCCCAAGGGACAUCACACUACCAGUUGAAAGAGUGGCUUCAUAAAGCCCAGAGUAUGAUACAAAUAAGCAGUCUGAGUUAGAUAGACAUGCAGUUAUGGUUUCCUUAUCAGCUCAGGUCAUGAAUAACAGUAAUACAGGAGUAAGCUUUUUUGCUCUCUGCUAGUAUGAAUGGACUAGACUGCAUGUCAGAUGAAUAAGAUGCAGCACAGAAAUAUCUAAGUACAGACUGGUACUUUUGCCCAGUCCAGUAUUUUGAAGCCCAAUAAAAUGUGGUUUCACUAAGUUCUACAAUAAAUCAUGAAAUACAUUAAUAUAUAUCUCUCAGUAGUAUUGGUUAUGAAAUUUGUAACUCCAUUUAUGGGCUUCCUUAAUAUUACCAUAUUUAAGUGUUGGUGUUAAGUUACUGUAUAUGGCUAUCAUUCCCUAAAAUUAUAGUUCAAGUUGAACAUGAUAUAAUUUCAUGGUUAUUAAGUAUAAAUAGUGAGCUGCUGCCAUUAAAGUAAGAAUUAAAGUCUUCUGCUUCCAGCAGCUAUUUUCUCUUUCUGUGUUCUCUGUGUGCCUGCUAACCAUACCUUUUUCAUGUGUACUUCCAUAUCUUCCAGCUAGAAAGGGAAAAUAUGAACACGGUACCAAUAUCCUUCUCUGAGUCUGUUGGCAAUUUACUGGAUGGUUGACAAACAUUACAACCUUUAUUUCUAUCUAAUUCAGUGGUGGGAUCAUUAAAAAGAUUAAUGAGAAUGUUUCGGUCUUUUGCAAGAACUAAAGCCAAGGAACAGCAGGAUAUGGACUUUGGUUUUAGAGUUGCUCUCAGGCCAGAAAACCCUUAAUCCAUCCUUACACAGAUACAUGUGAUAAGGUUAUGCAAUGUAAAAAGAUGAGCACUAAAACUAAAAGCUGAAAUAUGAUUGUCAGACUGGCAAAUUUAAAUAGCGUGAAAGGAUCCAUCAGUGACAGACAUAAAGGAGAUUCACUGCUUGAAACACAUGACAGCAUUGUUGAAUCAUGUGGGUCACUGUGCAGGUCUUUGAUCAUAAAGUGACUCUUGCUUGGGAGAAACGUGGAAAGAUGUAUUACACAAACAGUGGGAAUGCAAAGCUCUCACAGGCUGGAAUGGUGUGGGAAUGGAUCAUCUGUGGGAAUGCAUCAUAGCCUUUCUCUGCUGUUUAUAUUUCUGAGUUUAUCAUCAACUCACUCCAUGGCUGGCAAGAAAUAAUACAAUGGGAGACAAUGAUCAUGAUCAUGAUGAUGAAACAAUGACAGUGAUGAUAAUGAUUGUCAUGGUAGUGGUGAUAAUGGUAAUGAUAAUGAUGAUCAGGAUGAUGUGACAGUGGUGGUAGUGGUGGUGAUCACAAUCAUUUCAUCAUCAUCAUCAUCAUCUUCA
Scylla paramamosain (green mud crab) is the source of this 3614-nucleotide long non-coding RNA. RefSeq lists it as uncharacterized. The transcript is spliced from 2 exons. The record is from RefSeq and is a predicted model, not a curated record. Lineage: Eukaryota; Metazoa; Arthropoda; Malacostraca; Decapoda; Portunidae.